UAUGAAGUGCCUGAUAAAAGGGCUAUCUUGAUAGGAUAGAUUAUGCACAGCAAAUGCCUUCAUUA
Molecule: transfer RNA, 65 nt
Filed under: Margarinotus merdarius
Lineage: Eukaryota; Metazoa; Arthropoda; Insecta; Coleoptera; Histeridae
Description: tRNA-Ile
Source: RNAcentral